UCAUCAACUGGUUGGAAGAAAGGUAAGUUGUCAACUAGGUGAGUACGGGGCCCCCCACCCGGGGGACUUACUUCAGGUAGGUGGGGAGUAGAUGGGGCCAGGGGAUGGUGACCUCUACUUCUGCAAGAGCUGGAGUUUGGAAUAGGCAGGACUACCCUUUGCCUCUAGCAAAAGGUUCUCUCUCCACGUGAAUGAAAACUCAAAAUAAAAACCACCUUUGUGUACUUCACACUGAACUCCUGGAGCCACUGGUCAGGAAAUUUACCAAGCCUGGGAAGCCCUUCACAGCCCUCAGGUUCUCUUGAUGAGAAGGCAAGCCAUGUGGACAAAGGCUGGUUAAGUGACCUGGGUCCCCACCUGGUCUGGGAGCUGCUGGUGACCCAGUAACCUACUGGCUGUGCUACCCGCUUUUGUAAAAUAUGGGGAUAACCCACCGAAGGAGAAAGCCUGGCAGCCUGACGGGCUUUUCUUGAAACAUGGAAGAUUGGACAAUACCAAGGCCAUGCUACUGAGAAGCUCUCGUGGGUCGUGCUUGUCUGUUUAGAAGGGACACACACACUCCCCUCCCCAGACUCUGCGGCUGCUUUUUGUCUUACAUGUUCUGGCUACUUUAGUCCUGUCCGUGCUCAGGGCCUCCACGGGACUUGGAAAAUCUGUAGUCACCUCCUUGGGGAGCCUAACGGGCAGCGCCUGUGCCCCAUGCCCCCAUUUCUCCAGCCCGUGCUGUCCGUACCUGGUAGGGGUCUGUGUUGAGAUCAAAGUACUCUA
This is a non-coding RNA of Vicugna pacos (alpaca), 768 nucleotides long. The record is from RefSeq and is a predicted model, not a curated record. Lineage: Eukaryota; Metazoa; Chordata; Mammalia; Artiodactyla; Camelidae.